RNAcentral lists this ribosomal RNA (213 nucleotides) under uncultured bacterium. Its description in RNAcentral is "partial 16S ribosomal RNA". It matches the Rfam family "Bacterial small subunit ribosomal RNA", at positions 1289 to 1500 of the family's 1533-position model. The record is from RNAcentral.
CAGUUCGGAUCGCAGGCUGCAACCCGCCUGCGUGAAGUUGGAAUCGCUAGUAAUCGCGGAUCAGCAUGCCGCGGUGAAUACGUUCCCGGGCCUUGUACACACCGCCCGUCACACCAUGAGAGUCGGGAACACCCGAAGUCCGUAGCCUAACCGCGAAGGGGGGCGCGGCCGAAGGUGGGUUCGAUAAUUGGGGUGAAGUCGUAACAAGGUAAC